Molecule: ribosomal RNA, 465 nt
Filed under: Vreelandella stevensii
Lineage: Bacteria; Pseudomonadati; Pseudomonadota; Gammaproteobacteria; Oceanospirillales; Halomonadaceae
Description: partial 16S ribosomal RNA
Rfam family: Bacterial small subunit ribosomal RNA
Source: RNAcentral
CCUACGGGGGGCUGCAGUGGGGAAUAUUGGACAAUGGGCGAAAGCCUGAUCCAGCCAUGCCGCGUGUGUGAAGAAGGCCUUCGGGGUGUAAAGCACUUUCAGUGGGGAAGAAAGCCUUGGGGCUAAUACCCUCGAGGAAGGACAUCACCCACAGAAGAAGCACCGGCUAACUCCGUGCCAGCAGCCGCGGUAAUACGGAGGGUGCGAGCGUUAAUCGGAAUUACUGGGCGUAAAGCGCGCGUAGGCGGUCUGAUAAGCCGGUUGUGAAAGCCCCGGGCUCAACCUGGGAACGGCAUCCGGAACUGUCAGGCUAGAGUGCAGGAGAGGAAGGUAGAAUUCCCGGUGUAGCGGUGAAAUGCGUAGAGAUCGGGAGGAAUACCAGUGGCGAAGGCGGCCUUCUGGACUGACACUGACGCUGAGGUGCGAAAGCGUGGGUAGCAAACAGGAUUAGAUACCCCAGUAGUC